AUCUCUCAAUUCCAAGACUCCUUGAAAUAUGAAAUUAGGAUGACCACGUUAUUCUUUGUAGCUUCUGUCACUUUACAUCGCUGUUAAACUUCUAGAUAUUUCGUUCACUACUUGAACAUGUAUUUGUUUUUGGUUAGUUGUAAAGUUUGAAGCUUCUCCCUUUCAUAUGUGAUUUACUGACUCAAACACAUAGUUUCUAUCAUGGAGGUUAUGGGCUUUUUUUUUUUUUAAGUAGAAUAUGAGUUUAACAUGGAAUUAUA
Molecule: long non-coding RNA, 260 nt
Filed under: Panax ginseng (ginseng)
Lineage: Eukaryota; Viridiplantae; Streptophyta; Magnoliopsida; Apiales; Araliaceae
Description: long non-coding RNA (PGIN_LNC001499)
Source: RNAcentral